CUGUGAGCUCGAUGAGUAGGGCGGGACACGUGGUAUCCUGUCUGAAUAUGGGGGGACCAUCCUCCAAGGCUAAAUACUCCUGACUGACCGAUAGUGAACCAGUACCGUGAGGGAAAGGCGAAAAGAACCCCGGCGAGGGGAGUGAAAAAGAACCUGAAACCGUGUACGUACAAGCAGUGGGAGCACAGAGCAAUCUGUGUGACUGCGUACCUUUUGUAUAAUGGGUCAGCGACUUAUAUUCUGUAGCAAGGUUAACCGAAUAGGGGAGCCGAAGGGAAACCGAGUCUUAACUGGGCGUUAAGUUGCAGGGUAUAGACCCGAAACCCGGUGAUCUAGCCAUGGGCAGGUUGAAGGUUGGGUAACACUAACUGGAGGACCGAACCGACUAAUGUUGAAAAAUUAGCGGAUGACUUGUGGCUGGGGGUGAAAGGCCAAUCAAACCGGGAGAUAGCUGGUUCUCCCCGAAAGCUAUUUAGGUAGCGCCUCGUGAAUUCAUCUCCGGGGGUAGAGCACUGUUUCGGCAAGGGGGUCAUCCCGACUUACCAACCCGAUGCAAACUGCGAAUACCGGAGAAUGUUAUCACGGGAGACACACGGCGGGUGCUAACGUCCGUCGUGAAGAGGGAAACAACCCAGACCGCCAGCUAAGGUCCCAAAGUCAUGGUUAAGUGGGAAACGAUGUGGGAAGGCCCAGACAGCCAGGAUGUUGGCUUAGAAGCAGCCAUCAUUUAAAGAAAGCGUAAUAGCUCACUGGUCGAGUCGGCCUGCGCGGAAGAUGUAACGGGGCUAAACCAUGCACCGAAGCUGCGGCAGCGACACUGUGUGUUGUUGGGUAGGGGAGCGUUCUGUAAGCCUGUGAAGGUGUACUGUAAGGUAUGCUGGAGGUAUCAGAAGUGCGAAUGCUGACAUAAGUAACGAUAAAGCGGGUGAAAAGCCCGCUCGCCGGAAGACCAAGGGUUCCUGUCCAACGUUAAUCGGGGCAGGGUGAGUCGACCCCUAAGGCGAGGCCGAAAGGCGUAGUCGAUGGGAAACAGGUUAAUAUUCCUGUACUUGGUGUUACUGCGAAGGGGGGACGGAGAAGGCUAUGUUGGCCGGGCGACGGUUGUCCCGGUUUAAGCGUGUAGGCUGGUUUUCCAGGCAAAUCCGGAAAAUCAAGGCUGAGGCGUGAUGACGAGGCACUACGGUGCUGAAGCAACAAAUGCCCUGCUUCCAGGAAAAGCCUCUAAGCAUCAGGUAACAUCAAAUCGUACCCCAAACCGACACAGGUGGUCAGGUAGAGAAUACCAAGGCGCUUGAGAGAACUCGGGUGAAGGAACUAGGCAAAAUGGUGCCGUAACUUCGGGAGAAGGCACGCUGAUAUGUAGGUGAAGUCCCUCGCGGAUGGAGCUGAAAUCAGUCGAAGAUACCAGCUGGCUGCAACUGUUUAUUAAAAACACAGCACUGUGCAAACACGAAAGUGGACGUAUACGGUGUGACGCCUGCCCGGUGCCGGAAGGUUAAUUGAUGGGGUCAGCGCAAGCGAAGCUCUUGAUCGAAGCCCCGGUAAACGGCGGCCGUAACUAUAACGGUCCUAAGGUAGCGAAAUUCCUUGUCGGGUAAGUUCCGACCUGCACGAAUGGCGUAAUGAUGGCCAGGCUGUCUCCACCCGAGACUCAGUGAAAUUGAACUCGCUGUGAAGAUGCAGUGUACCCGCGGCAAGACGGAAAGACCCCGUGAACCUUUACUAUAGCUUGACACUGAACAUUGAGCCUUGAUGUGUAGGAUAGGUGGGAGGCUUUGAAGUGUGGACGCCAGUCUGCAUGGAGCCGACCUUGAAAUACCACCCUUUAAUGUUUGAUGUUCUAACGUGGACCCGUGAUCCGGGUUGCGGACAGUGUCUGGUGGGUAGUUUGACUGGGGCGGUCUCCUCCUAAAGAGUAACGGAGGAGCACGAAGGUUGGCUAAUCCUGGUCGGACAUCAGGAGGUUAGUGCAAUGGCAUAAGCCAGCUUGACUGCGAGCGUGACGGCGCGAGCAGGUGCGAAAGCAGGUCAUAGUGAUCCGGUGGUUCUGAAUGGAAGGGCCAUCGCUCAACGGAUAAAAGGUACUCCGGGGAUAACAGGCUGAUACCGCCCAAGAGUUCAUAUCGACGGCGGUGUUUGGCACCUCGAUGUCGGCUCAUCACAUCCUGGGGCUGAAGUAGGUCCCAAGGGUAUGGCUGUUCGCCAUUUAAAGUGGUACGCGAGCUGGGUUUAGAACGUCGUGAGACAGUUCGGUCCCUAUCUGCCGUGGGCGCUGGAGAACUGAGGGGGGCUGCUCCUAGUACGAGAGGACCGGAGUGGACGCAUCACUGGUGUUCGGGUUGUCAUGCCAAUGGCACUGCCCGGUAGCUAAAUGCGGAAGAGAUAAGUGCUGAAAGCAUCUAAGCACGAAACUUGCCCCGAGAUGAGUUCUCCCUGACCCUUUAAGGGUCCUGAAGGAACGUUGAAGACGACGACGUUGAUAGGCCGGGUGUGUAAGCGCAGCGAUGCGUUGAGCUAACCGGUACUAAUGAACCGUGAGGCUUAACCUU
This 2549-nucleotide ribosomal RNA is filed under the name Escherichia coli. RNAcentral describes it as "partial 23S ribosomal RNA". It matches the Rfam family "Bacterial large subunit ribosomal RNA", at positions 397 to 2925 of the family's 2925-position model. Lineage: Bacteria; Pseudomonadati; Pseudomonadota; Gammaproteobacteria; Enterobacterales; Enterobacteriaceae. The record is from RNAcentral.